Long non-coding RNA from Dermacentor silvarum, 299 nucleotides. RefSeq lists it as uncharacterized. Lineage: Eukaryota; Metazoa; Arthropoda; Arachnida; Ixodida; Ixodidae. The record is from RefSeq and is a predicted model, not a curated record. The transcript has 3 exons.
AAAGGUGCCCAAUACCAACAUGAGCAGCGGUCCUCAAGAAGUCACCAAAAGCGCGCUGCUGCAGCUCUGUGUUGGACUGCAUCGACGCUUCGGGGGAUGUUGUCCUCGGGUGACCCAGAAGCAGUUAUGAACAAGAGCGACAAGGCGGACGCCAAACUAGCGACCGAUUUGCUGCUGGGUAGCAGUGACGUCCUGUUGCUUCUCAUGGCGAGUGUCGUCCUGGCCGUGUUCGUGCAACUCAUCGGGCUGGUCGUGUUGUGCGUCCGUUACAGGCAGUCUUCUGCGGACGAACAGCCUGA